This 253-nucleotide ribosomal RNA is filed under the name uncultured bacterium. Its description in RNAcentral is "partial 16S ribosomal RNA". It matches the Rfam family "Bacterial small subunit ribosomal RNA", at positions 524 to 776 of the family's 1533-position model. The record is from RNAcentral.
UACGAAGGGGGCUAGCGUUGCUCGGAAUCACUGGGCGUAAAGCGCACGUAGGCGGAUUGCUAAGUCAGGGGUGAAAUCCUGGAGCUCAACUCCAGAACUGCCUUUGAUACUGGCGAUCUUGAGUCCGGGAGAGGUGAGUGGAACUGCGAGUGUAGAGGUGAAAUUCGUAGAUAUCAGUCGGAACACCGGUGGCGAAGGCGGCUUCUUGGGCCAUUUCUGACGCUGAGGCGCGAAAGCUAGGGGAGCAAACGGG